CUUAGUGGCGAAGCUAACGCGUUAAGUUGUCCGCCUGGGGAGUACGGCCGCAAGGUUAAAACUCAAAGGAAUUGACGGGGACCCGCACAAGCGGUGGAGCAUGUGGUUUAAUUCGAUGCAACGCGAAGAACCUUACCUGGUCUUGACAUACACGGAACUUUCCAGAGAUGGAUUGGUGCCUUCGGGAACCGUGAUACAGGUGCUGCAUGGCUGUCGUCAGCUCGUGUCGUGAGAUGUUGGGUUAAGUCCCGUAACGAGCGCAACCCUUAUCUUUAUUUGCCAGCACAUCAUGGUGGGAACUAUAAAGAGACUGCCGGUGAUAAACCGGAGGAAGGCGGGGACGACGUCAAGUCAUCAUGGCCCUUACGACCAGGGCUACACACGUGCUACAAUGGGAAGGACAAAGGGUCGCAACCUCGCGAGAGCAAGCUAAUCUCAUAAACCUUUUCGUAGUCCGGAUCGGAGUCUGCAACUCGACUCCGUGAAGUCGGAAUCGCUAGUAAUCGUGGAUCAGAACGCCACGGUGAAUACGUUCCCGGGUCUUGUACACACCGCCCGUCAUACCAUGGGAGUGGGUUGCAAAAGAAGUGGGUAGCUUAUCUGGGCGCUCACCACUUUGUGAUUCAUGACUGGGGUAAAGUCGUAACAAGGUAACCCUAGCGGAAGCUGGGGUUGGAUCACCUCCUUAAGAAAAGUAUGAGUGUCCACAACAAGUUGUUUGAUAACUAUAAAGAAGAAUGAAAGAAUUGCAUAACUGCCAAUUAUUGGUAGUUAAUUACGCAGGAUAUUUUUGUUUUAAGUAAGGUAUUAUUUUGAAGGAAGGAAUGUA
This 829-nucleotide ribosomal RNA is filed under the name Bathymodiolus azoricus thioautotrophic gill symbiont. The stretch from base 1 to 688 matches the Rfam family "Bacterial small subunit ribosomal RNA", at positions 839 to 1533 of the family's 1533-position model. Lineage: Bacteria; Pseudomonadati; Pseudomonadota; Gammaproteobacteria. The record is from RNAcentral.